RNAcentral lists this ribosomal RNA (254 nucleotides) under uncultured bacterium. RNAcentral's name for it is "partial 16S ribosomal RNA". It matches the Rfam family "Bacterial small subunit ribosomal RNA", at positions 524 to 776 of the family's 1533-position model. The record is from RNAcentral.
CACGUAGGGUGCGAGCGUUGUCCGGAAUUAUUGGGCGUAAAGAGCUCGUAGGCGGUGUGUCGCGUCGGCCGUGAAAACCUGCAGCUUAACUGUGGGCGUGCGGUCGAUACGGGCAUCACUGGAGUUCGGCAGGGGAGACUGGAAUUCCUGGUGUAGCGGUGAAAUGCGCAGAUAUCAGGAGGAACACCGGUGGCGAAAGCGGGUCUCUGGGCCGAUACUGACGCUGAGGAGCGAAAGCGUGGGGAGCAAACAGG